Molecule: ribosomal RNA, 279 nt
Filed under: uncultured bacterium
Lineage: Bacteria
Description: partial 16S ribosomal RNA
Rfam family: Bacterial small subunit ribosomal RNA
Source: RNAcentral
AACGAACGCUGGCGGCAUGCCUAACACAUGCAAGUCGAACCGAGACCUUCGGGUCUAGUGGCGCACGGGUGCGUAACGCGUGGGAAUCUGCCCUUGGGUUCGGAAUAACUCGCCGAAAGGCGUGCUAAUACCGGAUGAUGUCGUAAGACCAAAGAUUUAUCGCCCAGGGAUGAGCCCGCGUAAGAUUAGGUAGUUGGUGAGGUAAUGGCCUACCAAGGCGACGAUCUCUAGCUGGUCUGAGAGGAUGAUCAGCCACACUGGGACUGAGACACGGCCCAG